UAAAAAAAAUGAUACUGUCAUGCGAGAAAUAAUGCAUAUUCAACAUAAAAACAGGGAAAAUUGAAGCACGAAAUCCAUAAAUCUCCAAAAUUAGUUCUUCAGCGUAUUGAGCAAAUAGAGGCUAAAGAGAGUAAUCGCAGAGCAAAGAUAGGCUAAAGAGACCGAUCGCACCUGUUGAUGGCAUCCUUAGUCACUCGGUCAUCAAUCUCCAUAAAUAGUAAUCAAAUAACAAGCUCUAAUUGAUCUGAUUAUGAUUAUGAGGGCUCGAUGAAGUUGUGUAAUUUUCGAAUAAAAGCAUCGCGAUGGGUCGCACCCUGGAAGAUGAUUUUAUUCAUGCGGGAAUUUGAAGUUGUAACCCUUUCCCAUAUGAAAUUAACGAAACCACAUAAUCAAUAAAGCCAGUGAUUAUAACGGCUGUGCCUAGAUCACAUAAGUUGAAAUUGGAAGAGGACCUUAAAAGCUUUUUAGUUAACCUCACAAGGCCAGCAGCUGUGAAGAUUGAAGAUAUUUGUGUCUAUUGUUUUGGUUGAGUUAUUUUUGAAUUUGGCAUUGCUGAUAAUGUUGAAAUUAAAGUAGUGAGGAGCAUCAAUGGGCUGGGAUAAUUAGGAACAAUAUAUUUAUUCCGACGAGGAAAAAGAAGGUAGUUAGGAAUCGGGCAUUACUAUUUUGUAUUUUGUUAUAUUGAAUGAAAUUGAGCAACCUUUUAACAUUAAAUUAUUGUUUAUUAUUUUGAACAGCUAAACAAUAUAAGGAGAAGGAAUUAGAUAUGUAACGAAAUAAAAUUUAGUAUGAACUGUGAUUUAUUUUGCAAA
Long non-coding RNA from Jatropha curcas, 812 nucleotides. RefSeq lists it as uncharacterized. The record is from RefSeq and is a predicted model, not a curated record. Lineage: Eukaryota; Viridiplantae; Streptophyta; Magnoliopsida; Malpighiales; Euphorbiaceae.